AACGAACGCUGGCGGCAGGCCUAACACAUGCAAGUCGAGCGAGGACUUCGGUCCUAGCGGCGGACGGGUGAGUAACGCGUGGGAACGUGCCCUUUGCUUCGGAAUAGCCCUGGGAAACUGGGAGUAAUACCGGAUGAGCCCUUUGGGGGAAAGAUUUAUCGGCGAAGGAUCGGCCCGCGUUGGAUUAGGUAGUUGGUGGGGUAAUGGCCUACCAAGCCGACGAUCCAUAGCUGGCUUGAGAGGAUGAUCAGCCACACUGGGACUGAGACACGGCCCAGACUCCUACGGGAGGCAGCAGUGGGGAAUCUUAGACAAUGGGGGAAACCCUGAUCGAGCCAUGCCGCGUGAGCGAUGAAGGCCUUAGGGUUGUAAAGCUCUUUCAGCUGGGAAGAUAAUGACGGUACCAGCAGAAGAAGCCCCGGCUAACUCCGUG
This 433-nucleotide ribosomal RNA is filed under the name uncultured bacterium. RNAcentral describes it as "partial 16S ribosomal RNA". It matches the Rfam family "Bacterial small subunit ribosomal RNA", at positions 29 to 507 of the family's 1533-position model. The record is from RNAcentral.